CAGCUCACAAGGUCAGGCAGCGGCAGCUGCUAGUGUUUGCAAAAGCAUCAAAUCAAAUUCAAAUCACGAGAAAAAGAUCUAAAUGGUGUCGUACGUCAGUGCCUUGCUCUACGGAGUGGGCGGCAUAGUGGCGGCAGGGAUGGCGCUGCUCGGGGCCUUCCAAGAGAGGUUAGUUUAUGUGCCGGUCUUGCCCGGUCUCACCAAGUCCUACCCCAUAACUCCCGCCCGCCUCCGACUCGCUUACGAGGACGUCUGGCUCAGAUCCUCAGAUGGCAUCCGCCUCCACGCUUGGUUCAUUAAGCUCUUUCCUGAAUGCC
This 317-nucleotide unclassified non-coding RNA is filed under the name Hevea brasiliensis (rubber tree). The record is from RNAcentral. Lineage: Eukaryota; Viridiplantae; Streptophyta; Magnoliopsida; Malpighiales; Euphorbiaceae.